This 351-nucleotide ribosomal RNA is filed under the name uncultured bacterium. Its description in RNAcentral is "bacterial SSU rRNA". It matches the Rfam family "Bacterial small subunit ribosomal RNA", at positions 8 to 349 of the family's 1533-position model. The record is from RNAcentral.
AGAGUUUGAUCAUGGCUCAGGAUGAACGCUAGCUACAGGCUUAACACAUGCAAGUCGAGGGGAAACGACAUCGAAAGCUUGCUUUUGAUGGGCGUCGACCGGCGCACGGGUGAGUAACGCGUAUCCAACCUGCCCACCACUUGGGGAUAACCUUGCGAAAGUAAGACUAAUACCCAAUGACGUCUCUAGAAGACAUCUGAAAGAGAUUAAAGAUUUAUCGGUGAUGGAUGGGGAUGCGUCUGAUUAGCUUGUUGGCGGGGUAACGGCCACAAGGCGACGAUCAGUAGGGUUCUGAGAGGAACGGUCCCCCANAUUGGAACUGAGACACGGUCCAAACUCCGUACGGGAGCA